CCUACGGGAGGCAGCAGUAAGGAAUAUUGGACAAUGGACGCAAGUCUGAUCCAGCCAUGCCGCGUGAAGGAUUAAGGCCCUCUGGGUUGUAAACUUCUUUUAUAGGGGACGAAAAAAGGGCUUUCUAGCUCGUCUGACGGUACCCUAUGAAUAAGCACCGGCUAACUCCGUGCCAGCAGCCGCGGUAAUACGGAGGGUGCAAGCGUUAUCCGGAUUCACUGGGUUUAAAGGGUGCGUAGGCGGGCAGUUAAGUCAGUGGUGAAAUCUUCGAGCUCAACUCGGAAACUGCCAUUGAUACUAUCUGUCUUGAAUACUGUGGAGGUGAGCGGAAUAUGUCAUGUAGCGGUGAAAUGCUUAGAUAUGACAUAGAACACCGAUUGCGAAGGCAGCUCGCUACACAAAUAUUGACGCUGAGGCACGAAAGCGUGGGGAUCAAACAGGAUUAGAUACCCUGGUAGUCCACGCCCUAAACUAUAGGAUACUCGACAUUUGCGAUACACAGUAAGUGUCUGAGCGAAAGCAUUAAGUAUCCACCUGGGAAGUUAGACCGCAGGUUGAACUUCAAGGAUUGACGG
RNAcentral lists this ribosomal RNA (575 nucleotides) under uncultured bacterium. RNAcentral describes it as "bacterial SSU rRNA". It matches the Rfam family "Bacterial small subunit ribosomal RNA", at positions 338 to 916 of the family's 1533-position model. The record is from RNAcentral.